Molecule: long non-coding RNA, 317 nt
Organism: Nothobranchius furzeri (turquoise killifish)
Lineage: Eukaryota; Metazoa; Chordata; Actinopteri; Cyprinodontiformes; Nothobranchiidae
Source: RefSeq, a predicted model, not a curated record
GAUAUGGGGACACGUUCUGCCACGGUGAACAACCGAGAGCAGAACACCUGUCGCAGUUCACCUGAAUCAAUAUGGCCCAAUGACCGUUUUCAUGAUGAGAGCCUCACGGGGUCUGGUACAGAAACCAGAGCCAGGAGCAGAACUGGAGAAGCUCGUGGAACAUCUCUGCACCAACAGAACAGAUCCCUGAACUUGGAAACAUCCCAGACUGCUGGAGAGCCGCUAAACACCUGACCCAAGUCUCUUGUUUGACAUCAUGGAUGAAACAUUACCCAGUAGCUCCUCCUGGAUCAGAUGCACCUGGUGUUGUGCAGAGG